UACGUAGGGUGCGAGCGUUGUCCGGAAUUAUUGGGCGUAAAGAGCUCGUAGGCGGCUUGUCACGUCGGAUGUGAAAGCUCGGGGCUUAACCCUGGGUCUGCAUUCGAUACGGGCAGGCUAGAGUUCGGUAGGGGAGAUCGGAAUUCCUGGUGUAGCGGUGAAAUGCGCAGAUAUCAGGAGGAACACCGGUGGCGAAGGCGGAUCUCUGGGCCGAUACUGACGCUGAGGAGCGAAAGCGUGGGGAGCGAACAGG
Molecule: ribosomal RNA, 253 nt
Filed under: uncultured bacterium
Lineage: Bacteria
Description: partial 16S ribosomal RNA
Rfam family: Bacterial small subunit ribosomal RNA
Source: RNAcentral